Molecule: long non-coding RNA, 100 nt
Organism: Dipodomys spectabilis (banner-tailed kangaroo rat)
Lineage: Eukaryota; Metazoa; Chordata; Mammalia; Rodentia; Heteromyidae
Exons: 3
Source: RefSeq, a predicted model, not a curated record
GCCUCGGCCACCUGAGUCCUGGAAGUGCCUUGAGGUUGGAGGGGCUGUGGAGUGGGGUAGAUGGGCCCAGGGUCUGGGCAGUUGGGGGGGCUCACUCCUG